Non-coding RNA from Zootermopsis nevadensis, 636 nucleotides. The record is from RefSeq and is a predicted model, not a curated record. NCBI's taxonomy places the organism in Eukaryota, Metazoa, Arthropoda, Insecta, Blattodea, Termopsidae.
CUCAAGGACUGACGUCUGUUUCGGAAUAACCUUGGAUUGAGAGGCAUCAUUACACAUACCGAAAUUUAUAAUCUCAGUACCAUAACAAAUAGAAGCAUACUUGUAAUUUUGUGCCCUUCACUACUCGUAAUACUUUGCACUGAAAUGGGCAGCCCACUCAUAUGUACGCAGAAGACGCGCAGUCCUCCAGUGAACAGUCCCAGAAUCUCGUGGCUUAGUGCUGAACUAUCACAGGUUGCAGUCAGUGCUUAUUCUUCAAAUCUUGGAAAUAUAUUCAGACCUUUUGAAGUGGAAGGCGUUCAAAAGCAAUUAGACAUGCCGCUAGUCCUUUAAACUAUCGGCGACAUCUCGCUUGCAUAUCAUUUCCAUUCGAUAGUUUCCUCUUUGGGCAAGCCGGAAUGAACGCUUGCACGUUCAUCGCUUCUGAGCAAACGGGCGAAAUUGCCGUACAGCGGAAAUUACGUGAAUUGGAUGUCAGUCUGAAUUAUGCCACGCGGACUUUACAGGUGAUAGCACUUCAUGGACUUGAAAACUGUUCUUCAUCAAUUUUAUGCAAGACAGUCUGUUGAAACUAACUAUCCAGUUUUCUAGUCUGAAGUGCGGAUUGUCUAGUGAGGAUAAAGACAUUGAGCAGUA